CUGCUCAGAGUGACCUGCCAUUGUUUUAUCACUCCAUCAGUCUGACUUUACCUUCUUUCUGAUCGUUUUCUGUUCUGGUCCUUAUCAGACAUGACUUUCCAUCAGAGCUGAGUCUGUGACAGUCAGAGCACAGUGAGCAUGAGUUCUCUCUCUCUCUGCAGAGCUCCCCUCAGUGUCUCUCCUCCAGAAGACUCCCUUGUGUAACGGUGUGACAUUAUUUGCCACAGUGUGGUGCAGUGUCGUGUAAAGUGUGACAACAAAGCAGCCUAACUCAGAAAUGUGUUUGUCCUCCAGUGAAGCACUCUGUGAAAUACAUGCUCACUUCGUCCUACGGAGUCAGAAGCAUCCCAGAGUUUGUGGCCGUCGCAGUGGUUGAUGAAGGCUCCUGCCUCAGAUUGUCCCGAGACUGUGAUGCUAAUAUUCCCAUGCCACUGCGGUGCUGUAUGCUGUGCUGCAGAUUGAAAUUAAUGCAGUGCAAGUUCACCCACGCCGUUGAAGCUGUUCUGCUGAAACAUUAUGGGCUGCAUCACAGAGCUUCAACCUGGCCUUGCAUCCACAGGGACUGCUGAUGCACUUUCACAGCCAUUAGUGCUUUGAAAUUUACUUGGCCCCGUUGGAAGGGAUUUGAUGCUGGUACAGUUUUAAUAAAACAAAUGUUUUGAAUGUACAUUUUGCAUCUGUAUUUAUAUAUUUGAUUAGAAGUUAUUGGUCCUAACUUAAGUUAUAAAGAUGAGUUACAUUAUGAACUAUUGCAGUGUGCAAUUUUAAAUUCUUCUUAAAUUAUUCUGCUAUACUAACUGAACCAAAUUUAAGUGGAUUAUGUGUAAGAGUUAUCACAAUAUAAAAUUAGUUAGUACAAUUUAUGGGAGAGUUAGCAGAAUUAAGGAUUAAAAGUUAUUACGAGGGCUGCACGGUGGCUCGGUGGUUAGCAGCGUCGCCUCACAGCUAGAAGAUCCCCGAAAUCACAGUGAUUU
Long non-coding RNA from Chelmon rostratus (copperband butterflyfish), 974 nucleotides. RefSeq lists it as uncharacterized. The record is from RefSeq and is a predicted model, not a curated record. NCBI's taxonomy places the organism in Eukaryota, Metazoa, Chordata, Actinopteri, Chaetodontiformes, Chaetodontidae. The transcript is spliced from 3 exons.